Cygnus olor (mute swan) is the source of this 907-nucleotide long non-coding RNA. RefSeq lists it as uncharacterized. The transcript is spliced from 3 exons. The record is from RefSeq and is a predicted model, not a curated record. Lineage: Eukaryota; Metazoa; Chordata; Aves; Anseriformes; Anatidae.
GAGCCGCCCCGCCGCAGCCGGGCUGCCUGCAGGUUUCCUGAAGCCGCAGUGCUGCGAUGCCCCGGCAUGCUUCAUGGCAGAGGUCCCCGGCCACCCCGCUGGAGCGUGGCGCUCCCCUGUAGGGAGCUGGGAUCAAAUUUGAGUUCCUGUUGAAGGUAAGCUUUCCAGAAAAUCUGAAGUCUCUGUGAUACCACUUUUCAGAGCAUCUCUGUUCUUCUCAUAUGGCACACAUGGAAAAGGGUUGGUCUGCAAACCAGGAGAGCGUCAGAAGAAGCAGAGGAGUUAAGGUGCUGGAACCACGAGACAAGAAUUUGGAGUCCCUUAUAAGCAAUUGGGUAGUGCUGUCCUCAUCAAUUGUUAAUUGUCAAAAAGGCUUGUCAGAUGCUCGGUAUUGCUUCAGGACAUGCUGAGCUUUGCUGAGGGAUGCUCCUGCUGGAGUAACAAUGAGCAAAUGGCAUAAAGACCGGUAGCUGGUAGCAUACCGGUUUACCAGUCAUGGGGCUGGUUGUUAGCUUUUUUUUUUCUUUUUUUUUUUUUUUUUUUUUUCCACUUUAAAACACAGAUUUAGAUUUAGCUUAUUUUACCAGUAUUUAAUACACUUUACAGAAAGUGUGUGUAGCCAAAGAUCGCUAGGGUAAAUCCAGCACAACUAAGAAGCAUCAGAAGUUGUGAGAAUGUCCUACGCCACAUGCAACUGUCAGUCAGUGCUAGAGCUGACUCUUCUUUUGCUAAACUGCCUAAAGUAAGCUUGGUAAUGAACUCUGUAAGAACACUUACAACAAAAGAGAAGUCUAGUUUUAAGAUCUAAUAAUCUUUAAUCACCUGAGAAAGAAUUCAGUGAUGGACUCCACUUCUUUGCUUUAAUACAGGAGACCUCAGGGCACACUUAAAUUAAACAAAUGACAGA